GGUUAAGCGACUAAGCGUACACGGUGGAUGCCCUGGCAGUCAGAGGCGAUGAAGGACGUGCUAAUCUGCGAUAAGCGUCGGUAAGGUGAUAUGAACCGUUAUAACCGGCGAUUUCCGAAUGGGGAAACCCAGUGUGAUUCGUCACACUAUCAUUAACUGAAUCCAUAGGUUAAUGAGGCGAACCGGGGGAACUGAAACAUCUAAGUACCCCGAGGAAAAGAAAUCAACCGAGAUUCCCCCAGUAGCGGCGAGCGAACGGGGAGCAGCCCAGAGCCUGAAUCAGUAUGUGUGUUAGUGGAAGCGUCUGGAAAGGCGCGCGAUACAGGGUGACAGCCCCGUACACAAAAAUGCACAUGCUGUGAGCUCGAUGAGUAGGGCGGGACACGUGGUAUCCUGUCUGAAUAUGGGGGGACCAUCCUCCAAGGCUAAAUACUCCUGACUGACCGAUAGUGAACCAGUACCGUGAGGGAAAGGCGAAAAGAACCCCGGCGAGGGGAGUGAAAAAGAACCUGAAACCGUGUACGUACAAGCAGUGGGAGCACGCUUAGGCGUGUGACUGCGUACCUUUUGUAUAAUGGGUCAGCGACUUAUAUUCUGUAGCAAGGUUAACCGAAUAGGGGAGCCGAAGGGAAACCGAGUCUUAACUGGGCGUUAAGUUGCAGGGUAUAGACCCGAAACCCGGUGAUCUAGCCAUGGGCAGGUUGAAGGUUGGGUAACACUAACUGGAGGACCGAACCGACUAAUGUUGAAAAAUUAGCGGAUGACUUGUGGCUGGGGGUGAAAGGCCAAUCAAACCGGGAGAUAGCUGGUUCUCCCCGAAAGCUAUUUAGGUAGCGCCUCGUGAAUUCAUCUCCGGGGGUAGAGCACUGUUUCGGCAAGGGGGUCAUCCCGACUUACCAACCCGAUGCAAACUGCGAAUACCGGAGAAUGUUAUCACGGGAGACACACGGCGGGUGCUAACGUCCGUCGUGAAGAGGGAAACAACCCAGACCGCCAGCUAAGGUCCCAAAGUCAUGGUUAAGUGGGAAACGAUGUGGGAAGGCCCAGACAGCCAGGAUGUUGGCUUAGAAGCAGCCAUCAUUUAAAGAAAGCGUAAUAGCUCACUGGUCGAGUCGGCCUGCGCGGAAGAUGUAACGGGGCUAAACCAUGCACCGAAGCUGCGGCAGCGACGCUGAUGCGUUGUUGGGUAGGGGAGCGUUCUGUAAGCCUGUGAAGGUGUACUGUGAGGUAUGCUGGAGGUAUCAGAAGUGCGAAUGCUGACAUAAGUAACGAUAAAGCGGGUGAAAAGCCCGCUCGCCGGAAGACCAAGGGUUCCUGUCCAACGUUAAUCGGGGCAGGGUGAGUCGACCCCUAAGGCGAGGCCGAAAGGCGUAGUCGAUGGGAAACAGGUUAAUAUUCCUGUACUUGGUGUUACUGCGAAGGGGGGACGGAGAAGGCUAUGUUGGCCGGGCGACGGUUGUCCCGGUUUAAGCGUGUAGGCUGGUUUUCCAGGCAAAUCCGGAAAAUCAAGGCUGAGGCGUGAUGACGAGGCACUACGGUGCUGAAGCAACAAAUGCCCUGCUUCCAGGAAAAGCCUCUAAGCAUCAGGUAACAUCAAAUCGUACCCCAAACCGACACAGGUGGUCAGGUAGAGAAUACCAAGGCGCUUGAGAGAACUCGGGUGAAGGAACUAGGCAAAAUGGUGCCGUAACUUCGGGAGAAGGCACGCUGAUAUGUAGGUGAAGUCCCUCGCGGAUGGAGCUGAAAUCAGUCGAAGAUACCAGCUGGCUGCAACUGUUUAUUAAAAACACAGCACUGUGCAAACACGAAAGUGGACGUAUACGGUGUGACGCCUGCCCGGUGCCGGAAGGUUAAUUGAUGGGGUUAGCGCAAGCGAAGCUCUUGAUCGAAGCCCCGGUAAACGGCGGCCGUAACUAUAACGGUCCUAAGGUAGCGAAAUUCCUUGUCGGGUAAGUUCCGACCUGCACGAAUGGCGUAAUGAUGGCCAGGCUGUCUCCACCCGAGACUCAGUGAAAUUGAACUCGCUGUGAAGAUGCAGUGUACCCGCGGCAAGACGGAAAGACCCCGUGAACCUUUACUAUAGCUUGACACUGAACAUUGAGCCUUGAUGUGUAGGAUAGGUGGGAGGCUUUGAAGUGUGGACGCCAGUCUGCAUGGAGCCGACCUUGAAAUACCACCCUUUAAUGUUUGAUGUUCUAACGUUGACCCGUGAUCCGGGUUGCGGACAGUGUCUGGUGGGUAGUUUGACUGGGGCGGUCUCCUCCUAAAGAGUAACGGAGGAGCACGAAGGUUGGCUAAUCCUGGUCGGACAUCAGGAGGUUAGUGCAAUGGCAUAAGCCAGCUUGACUGCGAGCGUGACGGCGCGAGCAGGUGCGAAAGCAGGUCAUAGUGAUCCGGUGGUUCUGAAUGGAAGGGCCAUCGCUCAACGGAUAAAAGGUACUCCGGGGAUAACAGGCUGAUACCGCCCAAGAGUUCAUAUCGACGGCGGUGUUUGGCACCUCGAUGUCGGCUCAUCACAUCCUGGGGCUGAAGUAGGUCCCAAGGGUAUGGCUGUUCGCCAUUUAAAGUGGUACGCGAGCUGGGUUUAGAACGUCGUGAGACAGUUCGGUCCCUAUCUGCCGUGGGCGCUGGAGAACUGAGGGGGGCUGCUCCUAGUACGAGAGGACCGGAGUGGACGCAUCACUGGUGUUCGGGUUGUCAUGCCAAUGGCACUGCCCGGUAGCUAAAUGCGGAAGAGAUAAGUGCUGAAAGCAUCUAAGCACGAAACUUGCCCCGAGAUGAGUUCUCCCUGACUCCUUGAGAGUCCUGAAGGAACGUUGAAGACGACGACGUUGAUAGGCCGGAUGUGUAAGCGCAGCGAUGCGUUGAGCUAACCGGUACUAAUGAACCGUGAGGCUUAACCUU
RNAcentral lists this ribosomal RNA (2904 nucleotides) under Escherichia coli. RNAcentral describes it as "23S ribosomal RNA". It matches the Rfam family "Bacterial large subunit ribosomal RNA". The record is from RNAcentral. Lineage: Bacteria; Pseudomonadati; Pseudomonadota; Gammaproteobacteria; Enterobacterales; Enterobacteriaceae.